ACAAUGAGAAUUGUGAAAUUCCUUGUAUGGCAUAAUGUGAAAUGAGGAAAUUCACUAAGUGAGUUAAAAAGCGAAUUAGGAAGAUUAAUCGUGUAUGAUCAUGUGAUUUCAUAUAAGUAAUCAAUACGCUCUUAGACUUGUAAUAUCACUCUUGUGGACAUUAAUUCAUGUCGAGUAAAACAAGUUUGGCGAUGAAAGUUGACACUGGCUUGAAGCUAAACAAGUCUUGGCACUGUUAGGAUACGGCGCAGCUGCGCCAUCCCAGCAGUACAAACUGGCGCAGCUGCACCAGAGAUCAGUUGGAGAAAAUUUAGUUUUCUUCUGUGACAAUGAAAUGGG
This 339-nucleotide long non-coding RNA is filed under the name Panax ginseng (ginseng). RNAcentral's name for it is "long non-coding RNA (PGIN_LNC005595)". The record is from RNAcentral. Lineage: Eukaryota; Viridiplantae; Streptophyta; Magnoliopsida; Apiales; Araliaceae.